UACGUAGGGUGCAGGCGUUAAUCGGAAUUACUGGGCGUAAAGCGUGCGCAGGCGGUUUUGUAAGCCAGAUGUGAAAUCCCCGGGCUUAACCUGGGAAUGGCAUUUGGGACUGCAAGGCUGGAGUGUGGCAGAGGAGACUGGAAUUCCUGGUGUAGCAGUGAAAUGCGUAGAUAUCAGGAGGAAUACCGAUGGCGAAGGCAGGUCUCUGGGCUGACACUGACGCUCAUGCACGAAAGCGUGGGGAGCAAACAGG
Molecule: ribosomal RNA, 253 nt
Filed under: uncultured bacterium
Lineage: Bacteria
Description: partial 16S ribosomal RNA
Rfam family: Bacterial small subunit ribosomal RNA
Source: RNAcentral